RNAcentral lists this ribosomal RNA (433 nucleotides) under uncultured bacterium. Its description in RNAcentral is "partial 16S ribosomal RNA". It matches the Rfam family "Bacterial small subunit ribosomal RNA", at positions 29 to 507 of the family's 1533-position model. The record is from RNAcentral.
AACGAACGCUGGCGGCAUGCCUAACACAUGCAAGUCGAACGAAAAGUUCCGGUUUGGUGUCCCACGGGUGCGUAAGGCGUAGGAACAUGCCUUUAAGUUCGGCAUAACUUCGAGAAAUUUGAGCUAAAACGGGGCGAUUUCUUCGGACCAAGGAUUUUUCGCCUUUGGGUGGGGCAGCGUUGCGUUAGCUUGUGGGGGGGGUACAGGCCAGCCACGGCGAGGAUCCGUAGCUGGUUGGAGAGGCUGUUCAGCGAAACUGGGCCUGGGACACGGCCCAGACUCGUACGGGAGGCAGGAGUGGUUAAUAUUGGAGAAUGGGCGAAAGGCUGAUCCAGCAAGGGCGGGUGAGUGAUGUAGGCCUUAGGGAUGUAAAGCUCUUUUAGCCGAGAUGAUAAUGACGGUACCGGGAGAAUAAGCACCGGCUAACUACGUG